UGGGGAAUAUUGCACAAUGGAGGGAACUCUGAUGCAGCGACGCCGCGUGAGUGAUGAAGGAAUUCGUUUCGUAAAACUCUGUUCUAUGGGAAGAAAAGGACUGUACCAUAGGAGAAAGCUCCGGCUAAAUACGUGCCAGCAGCCGCGGUAAUACGUAUGGAGCGAGCGUAGUCCGGAAUUAUUGGGCGUAAAGGGUGCGCAGGCGGCUUUACAAGUUGGAUGUGAAAUAUUGUGGCUCAACCACAAACGUGCAUCCAAAACUGCAAAGCUUGAGUUAAGGGGAGGUAAGUGGAAUUCCUGGUGUAGCGGUGGAAUGCGUAGAUAUCAGGAGGAAUACCGGUGGCGAAGGCGACUUACUGGACUUAAACUGACGCUCAGGCACGAAAGCGUGGGGAGCAAACAGG
Molecule: ribosomal RNA, 404 nt
Filed under: Fusobacteriota bacterium
Lineage: Bacteria; Fusobacteriati; Fusobacteriota
Description: Fusobacteria bacterium partial 16S ribosomal RNA
Rfam family: Bacterial small subunit ribosomal RNA
Source: RNAcentral